Molecule: unclassified non-coding RNA, 391 nt
Filed under: soil metagenome
Description: partial contains 5.8S ribosomal RNA, internal transcribed spacer 2, and large subunit ribosomal RNA
Rfam family: 5.8S ribosomal RNA (bases 1-122)
Source: RNAcentral
GAUGAAGAACGUAGCGAAAUGCGAUACUUGGUGUGAAUUGCAGAAUCCCGUCAACCAUCGAGUCUUUGAACGCAAGUUGCGCCCGAAGCCAUUAGGCCGAGGGCACGCCUGCCUGGGCGUCACACGUCGUUGCCCCCCCAUCUACUCCUUCGGGAUUGCGGGGGGCGGAUGAUGGCCUCCCGUGCGCCUCGUCGCGCGGUUGGCAUAAAUGCCAAGUCCUCGGCGACGCACGCCACGACAAUCGGUGGUUGCGAAACCUCGGUUGCCCGUCGUGUGCGGUCGUCGCGCAUCGAGGGCUCGAAAAAAUUGCCGGGCUCCGGCUCGGCUUUCAACGCGACCCCAGGUCAGGCGGGGUUACCCGCUGAAUUUAAGCAUAUCAAUAAGCGGAGGA